Molecule: ribosomal RNA, 237 nt
Filed under: Prorocentrum minimum
Lineage: Eukaryota; Dinophyceae; Prorocentrales; Prorocentraceae
Description: partial Eukaryotic large subunit ribosomal RNA
Rfam family: Eukaryotic large subunit ribosomal RNA
Source: RNAcentral
CUGAAAUCGGUUUGUCCGUAGCUAGGGUUCCACGGCCGGCAGAGCCCCGCACCUUUGCGGGGUCCGGUGCGCCCCCGACGACCCUUGAAAAUCCGCGGGAAGGAAUAGUUUUCACGCCAGGUCGUACUCAUAACCGCAGCAGGUCUCCUAGGUUAACAGCCUCUAGUUGAUAGAAUAAUGUGGAUAAGGGAAUUCGGCAAAAUGGAUCCGUAACUUCCGGAUAAGGAUUGGCUCUAA